This 585-nucleotide ribosomal RNA is filed under the name uncultured bacterium. RNAcentral's name for it is "partial 16S ribosomal RNA". It matches the Rfam family "Bacterial small subunit ribosomal RNA", at positions 355 to 1375 of the family's 1533-position model. The record is from RNAcentral.
UGGGGAAUUUUGGACAAUGGGCGAAAGCCUGAUCCAGCAAUGCCGCGUGUGUGAAGAAGGCCUCCGGGUUGUAAAGCACUUUUGUCCGGAAAGAAAUCCUUGGCUCUAAUACAGUCGGGGGAUGACGGUACCGGAAGAAUAAGCACCGGCUAACUACGUGCCAGCAGCCGCGGUAAUACGUAGGGUGCAAGCGUUAAUCGGAAUUACUGGGCGUAAAGCGUGCGCAGGCGGUUUGCUAAGACCGAUGUGAAAUCCCCGGGCUCAACCUGGGAACUGCAUUGGUGACUGGCAGGCUAGAGUAUGGCAGAGGGGGGUAGAAUUCCACGUGUAGCAGUGAAAUGCGUAGAGAUGUGGAGGAAUACCGAUGGCGAAGGCAGCCCCCUGGGCCAAUACUGACGCUCAUGCACGAAAGCGUGGGGAGCAAACAGGAUUAGAUACCCUGGUAGUCCACGCCCUAAACGAUGUCAACUAGUUGUUGGGGAUUCAUUUCCUUAGUAACGUAGCUAACGCGUGAAGUUGACCGCCUGGGGAGUACGGUCGCAAGAUUAAAACUCAAAGGAAUUGACGGGGUCAUAGCUGUUUCCU